Molecule: ribosomal RNA, 253 nt
Filed under: uncultured bacterium
Lineage: Bacteria
Description: partial 16S ribosomal RNA
Rfam family: Bacterial small subunit ribosomal RNA
Source: RNAcentral
UACGUAGGUGGCAAGCGUUGUCCGGAAUUAUUGGGCGUAAAGCGCGCGCAGGCGGUCUCUUAAGUCUGAUGUGAAAGCCCACGGCUCAACCGUGGAGGGUCAUUGGAAACUGGGGGACUUGAGUACUGGAGAGGAGAGUGGAAUUCCAUGUGUAGCGGUGAAAUGCGUAGAUAUCUGGAGGAACACCGGUGGCGAAGGCGGCAUCCUGGACCGGCAUUGACGCUGAGGCGCGAAAGCCAGGGGAGCAAACGGG